Ursus americanus (American black bear) is the source of this 103-nucleotide small nuclear RNA. Lineage: Eukaryota; Metazoa; Chordata; Mammalia; Carnivora; Ursidae. The record is from Ensembl.
GGGCUCACUUCAGCAACACAUGGCUAAAACUGGAAGAAUAAGAAGAUGAGCAUGGCUCCUUUGCAAGGAUGACACAUAAAUUUAUGAAGCAUUCCAUAUUAAA